This is a long non-coding RNA of Fukomys damarensis (Damara mole-rat), 2110 nucleotides long. The record is from Ensembl. NCBI's taxonomy places the organism in Eukaryota, Metazoa, Chordata, Mammalia, Rodentia, Bathyergidae.
AUGAGGAAAACCCUCGGUUUACAGUCAGCAGCCUCAGGCCACCGCCUUUGUCGUUACUCAGGUUUGAACUGGCAGGCAGGCACCCUCAAACCCACCUGCCAGAUGGCAACGACCACACCCACUUCACCAAGUGUCGCGGACACUAAACAGGGCAGUGUGGAAAACACACGUUGGUUCUGUUGCAGCUCAAUCAUUCGGUUUAUCUUUAGAGCAGAAGAAGAUUCUGGGAUGAACGUCUGGGGCUGGAGAUUCAAAACAACCAUAAGUUCCUGUAAUGUUCAAUUUUGGUUUGAAGCAAUGGCUGAAAGACAAACUGCUUUCCAACAGGUCUUCCAUGAGAGCUGGGAGAAGGCCACUGACACAGCUAUGGCACGGUGGACAGAGGACAGGAGCUGGAGACCUGCAGACCCUGGCUUUAGUCAAAACAACAGACUUUGAAAAUGGUUCUGGACAAAGCGGAAGUCAAGCACAGAUUAUUUCUGCUUCAUUUGCUGGGAAGGCAUGGGCGCAUCAGCCUAGACAGGUCAAUUAGGAGGAUCCACAGGGCGGGAAGGAACCUGAGGCCACCCUGCAAGGUGCUCGUCACCAAGACCCACCGUCCCGACCCUGCAGAAAGGCAGUCUGCAGAUCAGACUCUCAGGUGAGUCACUAAACCCAAGGCUAUCACGAGAAAAUGCCCACAGAAAGCUCACCUUCACAGUCCCCCAACAUUUCCAGAAAAGUCAUAUUAACAUUUUACUGCCUCAAAAUGAUAGUAUUAAACAAAAGAGGGACACAGAUUUUAUCUUGAAGACCAGGUAGAGGAGACACACAAUUCAUGGCAGUGUGCCAAGCGACAGGACCGGAGAUCAGGACCCAGGAUAGCAGGUCCAGCUUGGAGUUUCCGAUGGCCCAGGACAGGGCGCAGACAUCCACCCGACACCCAGACUGCCAGGGCUGUGGCGGGCUCCGAUGCUUCUGCUCCGCUCUCCCAGCUGCUGUGCACGCACCAGCCCUGCCCAAUACCACUGCCCUUUCAGGUUUCUUUGCAGCUCAAAGUCUGGAGAAUGAGCCAGUUUUCUUAUCUAUACGACGGAACUGUCCCUUGUGCCCUACAGUUGCCAGCCGCAACAAUCCUGCCAAGUGAGACAAAAGCUCCUCAGGCUGCGAAGCUGGAACGUGCUGGUUCUGAAGUAACUACAGUGACGGAAGGGGACAGGCACAGAAGAGACAGACACACGGUGUGCGUCUACUCAAAGGCGGGCUCCAUCAGAGCCACAGUGCUGGACUUCCCAGUGCUGCUCAGUGAGUGCUGAGGUCUGGAAAACCUGCCCAUUUUCUGCCGGUUUCUAUUCCCUGGUCUCUGAAUCAGUCAUUUGGAAGGUGCAUAAAGUAAUAUCGUUUGAGUCUCCAAAAUAGUCUGUAUUGCAGCUCUUAAAAAUGUAACCUUUAAGUGAACACACAAAUAAAUACAUCACAUACCUGACACGAAGACAUUGAGAUUUUAAUGUUGCCCAAUCCUACAAGUACUCCACAUGUUUACUUUCAUAAAUCCUAGAGUAAUGUUGAAUCCUUUCUGGCUUAAAUUUUACUUGGGUUGUAAAAUUAACCCAACUUUUAUUGGGUAACUAAUACCAUAAACCUAUGGGGAAAACGAAUGUUCUCCACGACCUAGGUUUUGAUGCUAGAAACUUCAGUGCAGGGACCAGAGCCUGCCCCAGCGGUGCCCCUGCGAUCACAGACCCGGCUCUUCUGUCCCCCGCAUUAGCAGAGCCCCGAUGUUUAAGGUGUCACUAUGAGAACCCUUUCUCCUCCCCACAUUAAACCUGCAAGGCCUGGAUUUAUACCUCCUGGGAGGACGAAACCCUGGAGUUACCCCCAGAUAUAAAUCUCCAACCUACUGGGAGACCCCGUAUUUUAUGUGCGAGGCGUAGGCUAAACUUCUUACCACCUUUUCCAUUCAGGACUUUCCUUCUAGGACUCUGAAACUGUUUUUCCCAGAAUAAAAGGGAAAGCAAUUCUUUGGCCACCCAUUUCUUAGCAAGGGCUUAGAGCUACAGGUGCAUUGAAUUUUUGACUCUGCCUGGAAUUCCUGCUGUCCUGAUCACUCUCCUGGAAACAGAUGUUAAAU